UGAGUAACACGUGGGCAAUCUGCCCUGCACUUCGGGAUAAGCCUGGGAAACUGGGUCUAAUACCGGAUAGGACCUUUAGACGCAUGUCUUUUGGUGGAAAGCUUUUGCGGUGUGGGAUGGGCCCGCGGCCUAUCAGCUUGUUGGUGGGGUGAUGGCCUACCAAGGCGACGACGGGUAGCCGGCCUGAGAGGGUGUCCGGCCACACUGGGACUGAGAUACGGCCCAGACUCCUACGGGAGGCAGCAGUGGGGAAUAUUGCACAAUGGGCGCAAGCCUGAUGCAGCGACGCCGCGUGGGGGAUGACGGCCUUCGGGUUGUAAACCUCUUUCACCAUCGACGAAGGUCCGGGUUUUCUCGGAUUGACGGUAGGUGGAGAAGAAGCACCGGCCAACUACGUGCCAGCAGCCGCGGUAAUACGUAGGGUGCGAGCGUUGUCCGGAAUUACUGGGCGUAAAGAGCUCGUAGGUGGUUUGUCGCGUUGUUCGUGAAAUCUCACGGCUUAACUGUGAGCGUGCGGGCGAUACGGGCAGACUAGAGUACUGCAGGGGAGACUGGAAUUCCUGGUGUAGCGGUGGAAUGCGCAGAUAUCAGGAGGAACACCGGUGGCGAAGGCGGGUCUCUGGGCAGUAACUGACGCUGAGGAGCGAAAGCGUGGGGAGCGAACAGGAUUAGAUACCCUGGUAGUCCACGCCGUAAACGGUGGGUACUAGGUGUGGGGUUUCCUUCCUUGGGAUCCGUGCCGUAGCUAACGCAUUAAGUACCCCCGCCUGGGGGAGUACGGCCGCAAGGCUAAAACUCAAAGGAAUUUGACGGGGGGCCCGCACAA
This 826-nucleotide ribosomal RNA is filed under the name Mycobacterium sp. Its description in RNAcentral is "bacterial SSU rRNA". It matches the Rfam family "Bacterial small subunit ribosomal RNA", at positions 107 to 928 of the family's 1533-position model. The record is from RNAcentral. Lineage: Bacteria; Bacillati; Actinomycetota; Actinomycetes; Mycobacteriales; Mycobacteriaceae.